GACAGAGGUGGCAAGCGUUGUUCGGAAUCAUUGGGCGUAAAGAGCACGUAGGCGGUUUUGCAAGUCUGGUGUGAAAGCCCCUGGCUUAACCAGGGAAUUGCAUUAGAUACUACAAGACUUGAGUGCAGUAGGGGAGAGCGGAACUUCUAGUGGAGCGGUGAAAUGCGUAGAUAUUAGAAGGAACGCCGGCGGCGAAAGCGGCUCUCUAGGCUGUAACUGACGCUGAGUGUGCGAAAGCUAGGGGAGCAAACGGG
Molecule: ribosomal RNA, 254 nt
Filed under: uncultured bacterium
Lineage: Bacteria
Description: partial 16S ribosomal RNA
Rfam family: Bacterial small subunit ribosomal RNA
Source: RNAcentral